This 170-nucleotide ribosomal RNA is filed under the name Chrysogorgia sp. Group 1. Its description in RNAcentral is "partial 16S ribosomal RNA". The record is from RNAcentral. Lineage: Eukaryota; Metazoa; Cnidaria; Anthozoa; Scleralcyonacea; Chrysogorgiidae.
ACAAUGUUCAAUCCCAACUUUUCUGAGUCCUAGUACGCAAGGAAUGGUCUCAGCGAUGCUCGACUAUAUUGGCCCCAUCGACGUAAUCAACUUCUGGCUGCUGCAAAGAAGGAGAACAAAAGGUUUCGGGAUUAAUCAGGUACAUGUGGGUGCAUAGCCCCUGGUGCCCU